GAACGCGAAGAACCUUACCAGCCCUUGACAUGCCCUGACGGCACCAGAGAUGGUGUCAUUCCUUCGGGACAGGUGCACAGGUGCUGCAUGGCUGUCGUCAGCUCGUGUCGUGAGAUGUUGGGUUAAGUCCCGCAACGAGCGCAACCCUCGCCCUUAGUUGCCAGCAUUCAGUUGGGCACUCUAGGGGGACUGCCGGUGAUAAGCCGAGAGGAAGGUGGGGAUGACGUCAAGUCCUCAUGGCCCUUACGGGCUGGGCUACACACGUGCUACAAUGGCGGUGACAGUGGGCAGCCAACCAGCGAUGGUGAGCUAAUCCCCAAAAGCCGUCUCAGUUCGGAUUGCACUCUGCAACUCGAGUGCAUGAAGUUGGAAUCGCUAGUAAUCGUGGAUCAACAUGCCACGGUGAAUACGUUCCCGGGUCUUGUACACACCGA
RNAcentral lists this ribosomal RNA (434 nucleotides) under uncultured bacterium. Its description in RNAcentral is "bacterial SSU rRNA". It matches the Rfam family "Bacterial small subunit ribosomal RNA", at positions 957 to 1393 of the family's 1533-position model. The record is from RNAcentral.